GUGGGCCUCUGGGUCAACUUCCCACCCGUGUUUAUUUUACCUCUGUUGCUUCGGCGGGCCCGCCUUAUCUGGCCUGCCGGGGGGCUCACGCCCCCGGGCCCGCGCCCGCCGAAGACACCCUCGAACUCUGUCUGAAGAUUGAAGUCUGAGUGAAAAUAUAAAUUAUUUAAAACUUUCAACAACGGAUCUCUUGGUUCCGGCAUCGAUGAAGAACGCAGCGAAAUGCGAUACGUAAUGUGAAUUGCAAAUUCAGUGAAUCAUCGAGUCUUUGAACGCACAUUGCGCCCCCUGGUAUUCCGGGGGGCAUGCCUGUCCGAGCGUCAUUGCUGCCCUCAAGCCCGGCUUGUGUGUUGGGCCCCGUCCUCCGAUUUCCGGGGGACGGGCCCGAAAGGCAGCGGCGGCACCGCGUCCGGUCCUCGAGCGUAUGGGGCUUUGUCACCCGCUCUGUAGGCCCGGCCGGCGCUUGCCGAUCAACCCAAAUUUUAUCCAGGUUGACCUCGGAUCAGGUAGGGAUACCCGCUGAACUUAAGCAUAUCAAUAAGCAGGAAAGAA
Molecule: ribosomal RNA, 552 nt
Filed under: Penicillium sp. UFMGCB 2606
Lineage: Eukaryota; Fungi; Ascomycota; Eurotiomycetes; Eurotiales; Aspergillaceae
Description: eukaryotic LSU rRNA
Rfam family: 5.8S ribosomal RNA (bases 171-323)
Source: RNAcentral